RNAcentral lists this ribosomal RNA (496 nucleotides) under uncultured bacterium. RNAcentral's name for it is "partial 16S ribosomal RNA". It matches the Rfam family "Bacterial small subunit ribosomal RNA", at positions 29 to 507 of the family's 1533-position model. The record is from RNAcentral.
AUGAACGCUGGCGGCGUGCCUAAUACAUGCAAGUCGAGCGAACGGACGAGAAGCUUGCUUCUCUGAUGUUAGCGGCGGACGGGUGAGUAACACGUGGAUAACCUACCUAUAAGACUGGGAUAACUUCGGGAAACCGUAGCUAAUACCGGAUAAUAUUUUGAACCGCAUGGUUCAAAAGUGAAAGACGGUCUUGCUGUCACUUAUAGAUGGUUCCGCGCUGCAUUAGCUAGUUGGUAAGGUAACGGCUUACCAAGGCAACGAUGCAUAGCCGACCUGAGAGGGUGAUCGGCCACACUGGAACUGAGACACGGUCCAGACUCCUACGGGAGGCAGCAGUAGGGAAUCUUCCGCAAUGGGCGAAAGCCUGACGGAGCAACGCCGCGUGAGUGAUGAAGGUCUUCGGAUCGUAAAACUCUGUUAUUGGGGAAGAACAUAUGUGUAAGUAACUGUGCACAUCUUGACGGUACCUAAUCAGAAAGCCACGGCUAACUACGUG